Molecule: long non-coding RNA, 401 nt
Organism: Ornithodoros turicata
Lineage: Eukaryota; Metazoa; Arthropoda; Arachnida; Ixodida; Argasidae
Exons: 3
Source: RefSeq, a predicted model, not a curated record
CAGAUCCCAUAUUGAGUUUGGCCGCCAGAUCAUGAAGGUCCGCCUUGCAGCGCAGACUCUAAGUUCAUCCGUGAGCAAAGCCCUGACCCACGCACGGCUCCUGGGAUUGACCGAAUUUGAAGGAAGUGACGCAACCGCUUCGUUCAUUGCCGACGUAGAUGAUCCCAUUGGCAAAGGAUUUAAGGCACCACUUCGCAAUGGAACAAUUUCCCAGCAAGGAAAAAGGAUGCUUACAUUGUCGUCAAGAAUGAUGACACUGCGACUUCCAUCCGGGGAGCUAGCUGCUCAGCAUGGGAGACGCAUGUCAGUCAUCAGCGUGGCCUUUACGCUAAAAAGUGUUGCACAGCUGGCAGAAGCGCUGUUCCAGGCGGGCGCAUGCAGUUACAUCACUACGUACCGCC